RNAcentral lists this ribosomal RNA (301 nucleotides) under uncultured bacterium. Its description in RNAcentral is "partial 16S ribosomal RNA". It matches the Rfam family "Bacterial small subunit ribosomal RNA", at positions 509 to 807 of the family's 1533-position model. The record is from RNAcentral.
CAGUCGCCGCGGGAAUACGGGGGAUCCAAGCGUUAUCCGGAUUUAUUGGGUUUAAAGGGUGCGUAGGCGGCUUGUUAAGUCAGGGGUGAAAGGCGGUAGCUUAACUAUCGGAGUGCCCUUGAUACUGACGAGCUUGAAUGCAGCUGAGGUAGGCGGAAUGUGACAAGUAGCGGUGAAAUGCAUAGAUAUGUCACAGAACACCGAUUGCGAAGGCAGCUUACUAAAGUGCGAUUGACGCUGAGGCACGAAAGCGUGGGGAUCAAACAGGAUUAGAUACCCCGGUAGUCCCUGUCUCUUAUAC